CAGUCGAGGGGCAGCGGGGGCGAAGCUUGCUUCGCCUGCCGGCGACCGGCGCACGGGUGAGUAACACGUAUGCGACCUGCCCCCCGCAGGGGGAUAACCGGGAGAAAUCCCGACUAAUACCGCGUAACGCCGCUGGGCUGCAUGGCCCGGCGGCCAAAGGAAGCGAUUCCGGCGGGGGAUGGGCAUGCGGCGCAUUAGCUAGUCGGCGGGGUAACGGCCCACCGAGGCGACGAUGCGUAGGGGUUCUGAGAGGAAGGUCCCCCACACUGGUACUGAGACACGGACCAGACUCCUACGGGAGGCAGCAGUGAGGAAUAUUGGUCAAUGGGCGUAAGCCUGAACCAGCCAAGUCGCGUGAGGGAAGACGGUCCUACGGAUUGUAAACCUCUUUUGCCGGGGAGCAACGGGGUCCUUGCGAGGGCCCUAUGAGAGUACCCGGAGAAAAAGCAUCGGCUAACUCCGUGCCAGCAGCCGCGGUAAUACGGAGGAUGCGAGCGUUAUCCGGAUUUAUUGGGUUUAAAGGGUGCGUAGGCGGGCUGUUAAGUCAGCGGUCAAAUGUCGGGGCUCAACCCCGGCCUGCCGUUGAAACUGGCGGCCUCGAGUGGGCGAGAAGUAUGCGGAAUGCUGGUGUAGCGGUGAAAUGCAUAGAUAUCACGCAGAACUCCGAUUGCGAAGGCAGCAUACCGGCGCCCUACUGACGCUGAGGCACGAAAGCGUGGGUAUCGAACAGGAUUAGAUACCCUGGUAG
RNAcentral lists this ribosomal RNA (748 nucleotides) under uncultured bacterium. RNAcentral's name for it is "bacterial SSU rRNA". It matches the Rfam family "Bacterial small subunit ribosomal RNA", at positions 59 to 793 of the family's 1533-position model. The record is from RNAcentral.